UACAGAGGGUGCAAGCGUUAAUCGGAGUUACUGGGCGUAAAGGGCGCGUAGGCGGUCAUUUAAGUUGGAUGUGAAAUCCCUGGGCUUAACCUAGGAACUGCAUUCAAUACUGGAUGACUAGAAUAUUGUAGAGGGUAGUGGAAUUUCCGGUGUAGCGGUGAAAUGCGUAGAGAUCGGAAGGAACACCAGUGGCGAAGGCGGCUACCUGGACAAAUAUUGACGCUGAGGCGCGAAAGCGUGGGGAGCAAACAGG
Molecule: ribosomal RNA, 253 nt
Filed under: uncultured bacterium
Lineage: Bacteria
Description: partial 16S ribosomal RNA
Rfam family: Bacterial small subunit ribosomal RNA
Source: RNAcentral